RNAcentral lists this long non-coding RNA (493 nucleotides) under Theobroma cacao (cacao). RNAcentral's name for it is "long non-coding RNA (TCAC_LNC002313)". Lineage: Eukaryota; Viridiplantae; Streptophyta; Magnoliopsida; Malvales; Malvaceae. The record is from RNAcentral.
UAUUGAUUAUUUGGUUGAAAUGAAUAUUCGUGUUGUGAAAAAUUUACUGAAAUGAACUAUUUUUAAUUGUCUCCCUUUACUCGCCUUUAGAUAGUUUAGAUGGUGUCUGUUUGCUCACUGGGAUUACAAAAUCUCACCCAUUCUUCCUAUACAUUUUUUAGGCUCAGGACAGUUUAUAGAUAGUCAAGUAGGACGAGAACUAAGCUUGAAACUGCAUUAUAGAAAGUAAGAGUUCACAGUCUUACAUCCUCUUGGUCAAUUGGGGCCCACGUGUCACUGUAAAAGUAAUUUUAUUCUUUAGUUAUUUGAUUUAAAGUAUGUAUGAAUAUAUUUAGCUUUUAUACCAUAUUUUUGGCGAGUUUCGGUAUUUUCGAAGAAAAAUGACGAAAAUGCCCCUGUGAGCCAGAAAGUAAUAUUUUAUUGUUUUGAUUUGGAAAUGACUUAUAAUUUCUUGAAAUGUGAGAUUUAAUAAUUGUCGCUCACCGGGGAGAUG